This 2905-nucleotide ribosomal RNA is filed under the name Bacteroides ovatus. RNAcentral's name for it is "23S ribosomal RNA". It matches the Rfam family "Bacterial large subunit ribosomal RNA". The record is from RNAcentral. Lineage: Bacteria; Pseudomonadati; Bacteroidota; Bacteroidia; Bacteroidales; Bacteroidaceae.
AAAGAAAGUAAGCAAGGGCGCAUGGCGGAUGCCUUGGCUCUCGGAGGCGAUGAAGGACGUGAUAAGCUGCGAUAAGCUUCGGGCAGGUGCAAAUAACCUUUGAUCCGAAGAUUUCCGAAUGGGACAACCCGUCAUUCUGAAGGAAUGACAUCUUGCAUAGCAAGAGGCUAACGCAGGGAACUGAAACAUCUUAGUACCUGUAGGAAAAGAAAAUAAUAAUGAUUCCCCUAGUAGUGGCGAGNNNNNNNNNNGGCGAGCGAACGGGGAUUAGCCCAAACCAAUGUUGUUACGGCAAUAUUGGGGUUGUAGGACCACGCUCUCGCAAGAAGUUUAGUGAGAAGAACCCUUUGGAAAAUGGGACCAUAGACGGUGAUAGUCCGGUAUUCGAAGCUAAAUGAAGCGUAGUGGUAUCCUGAGUAGCGCGGGACACGAGGAAUCUUGCGUGAAUCUGCCGGGACCAUCCGGUAAGGCUAAAUACUCCCGAGAGACCGAUAGCGAACCAGUACUGUGAAGGAAAGGUGAAAAGCACUUCGAAUAGAAGAGUGAAAUAGUCCCUGAAACCGUGCGCCUACAAGCGGUCGGAGCUGCUUCAGCAGUGACGGCGUGCCUUUUGCAUAAUGAACCUACGAGUUACUUUUUCCGGCAAGGUUAAGGAUCUUGAGAUCCGCAGCCGAAGCGAAAGCGAGUCUUAAUAGGGCGAUUAGUCGGAAGGAGUAGACGCGAAACCAAGUGAUCUACCCUUGGUCAGGUUGAAGGUUAGGUAACACUAACUGGAGGACCGAACCGAUAAGCGUUGAAAAGCUUCCGGAUGAACUGAGGGUGGGGGUGAAAGGCUAAUCAAACUUGGAGAUAGCUCGUACUCCCCGAAAUGCAUUUAGGUGCAGCCUUGGGAAUUACUACUGUGAGGUAGAGCGACUGAUAAGAUGCGAGGGCUUCACCGCCUAUCAAGUCUUGAUAAACUCCGAAUGCGCAGUAGUUCGAUCCCAGGAGUGAGGGCAUGGGUGCUAAGGUCCAUGUCCUAAAGGAGAAGAAUCCAGACCAUCAGCUAAGGUCCCGAAAUAAUUGCUAAGUUGAACUAACGAAGUCAGAUUGCUAAGACAGCUAGGAUGUUGGCUUGGAAGCAGCCAUUCAUUUAAAGAGUGCGUAACAGCUCACUAGUCGAGGAGUUUGGCGUGGAUAAUAAUCGGGCAUUAAGCAAUUUACCGAAGCUAUGGGAUGUUAACUAAACACUAACAUCGGUAGGGGAGCAUUCCACUCUGCGUCGAAGGUGAAGCGUGAGCUUUGCUGGAGCGUGUGGAAAAGCAAAUGUAGGUAUAAGUAACGAUAAAGGGGGUGAGAAACCCCCUCGCCGAAAGACUAAGGUUUCCUGAUCAACGCUAAUCGGAUCAGGGUUAGUCGGGUCCUAAGGCUCAGCCGAACGGUGAGGCCGAUGGCAGAACAGGUUAAUAUUCCUGUACUACCUUAAGGAGUGACGUGGAGACGGAGGAGUGACAACGCCGCGGACUGACGGAAUAGUCCGUUGAAGGGUGUAGAUGUUGAUUAUCCCAGGCAAAUCCGGGAUAAGAGUCGAACCUGAUAGUAUACCAAAUUCUUCGGAAUAAGGUAAUAGUGCGUGUAAGCAUACUCCCAAGAAAAUCCGCUAAACUUAAUCUUUAAGGUACCCGUACCGCAAACGGACACACGUAGUCGGGUUGAAUAUACUAAGGCGCUUGAGUGAUUCACGGUUAAGGAACUAGGCAAAUUGACCCUGUAACUUCGGGAUAAAGGGUCCCAACGAGAGUUGGGCGCAGAGAAUAGGUCCAGGCAACUGUUUAACAAAAACACAGGGCUGUGCUAAAUUGAAAGAUUACGUAUACAGCCUGACACCUGCCCGGUGCUGGAAGGUUAAGAGGAGAUGUCAUCGCAAGAGAAGCAUUGAAUUGAAGCCCCAGUAAACGGCGGCCGUAACUAUAACGGUCCUAAGGUAGCGAAAUUCCUUGUCGGGUAAGUUCCGACCUGCACGAAUGGUGUAAUGAUCUGGACACUGUCUCAACCGUGAGCUCAGUGAAAUUGUAGUAUCGGUGAAGAUGCCGAUUACCCGCGAUGGGACGAAAAGACCCCGUGAACCUUUACUAUAGCUUAACAUUGAAUUUGGGUAAUUGAUGUGUAGGAUAGGCCGGAGACUUUGAAGCAGGUACGCCAGUAUUUGUGGAGUCGCUGUUGAAAUACGGCCCUUUGAUUAUUUGAGUUCUAACUCGUAGAUACGAGGACACUGUUUGGUGGGUAGUUUGACUGGGGUGGUCGCCUCCAAAAGUGUAACGGAGGCUUCUAAAGGUGCCCUCAGGACGAUUGGUAACCGUCCGUAGAGUGUAAUGGCAUAAGGGCGCUUGACUGGGAGACAGACAAGUCGAUCAGGUAGGAAACUAGAGCAUAGUGAUCCGGUGUUUCCGUAUGGAAGGGACAUCGCUCAAAGGAUAAAAGGUACUCCGGGGAUAACAGGCUGAUCCCUCCCAAGAGCUCAUAUCGACGGAGGGGUUUGGCACCUCGAUGUCGGCUCGUCACAUCCUGGGGCUGGAGAAGGUCCCAAGGGUUGGGCUGUUCGCCCAUUAAAGUGGCACGCGAGCUGGGUUCAGAACGUCGUGAGACAGUUCGGUCUCUAUCUAUCGUGGGCGUAUGAAAUUUGCGUGGCUCUGACACUAGUACGAGAGGACCGUGUUGGACUGACCGCUGGUUUACCAGUUGUGCCGCCAGGUGCAUUGCUGGGUAUCUAAGUCGGGAUUGGAUAAGUGCUGAAAGCAUCUAAGUACGAAGCCAGCCACAAGAUUAGAUUUCUUAGGGUCGUCAAAGACGAUGACGUUGAUAGGAUGCAGGUGUAAAGGUGGUAACAUCAAAGCCGAGCAUUACUAAUUGCCCGUUCACUUUCUUU